This 477-nucleotide ribosomal RNA is filed under the name Myrianida irregularis. RNAcentral's name for it is "partial 16S ribosomal RNA". It matches the Rfam family "Bacterial large subunit ribosomal RNA", at positions 1829 to 2597 of the family's 2925-position model. Lineage: Eukaryota; Metazoa; Annelida; Polychaeta; Phyllodocida; Syllidae. The record is from RNAcentral.
UGCUUCACUGUCUUCCCAUAGUAAGUAAAUUCUGCCCAGUGGAUUUUCUAAACGGCCGCGGUAUCUUGACCGUGCAAAGGUAGCAUAAUCAUUUGCCUUUUUAUUGGAGGCUAGAAUGAAUGAAUAAACAUAAGUCCCCCUUUCCCCUAUAAUAAAAUAUAAAUUAUUCUUCAGGUGAAGAAACCUGAAUUUUAUAAAAAGACAAGAAGACCCUAUCAAGCUUUAUAUUUCUACUAUCCAAUAAUUUUUAAAUAUUUGGUUGGGGCGACUAAUGAAAAAUUAUAAUCUUUCAUAAACCAUAAGAAAAACCUUUCUCAUAAUUUUUCUUAUAAAACGAAAAAGCUACUGUAGGGAUAACAGGCUUAUAUUUUCUCAGAGUUCAAAUUAAAGAAAAUGAUUGGCACCUCGAUGUUGGCUUAGGGCUCCUAUUUAUCCGCAGAAGGAAAAAAAGGUAGUUUGUUCAACUAUWAAAUCCCU